Molecule: non-coding RNA, 216 nt
Organism: Pelobates cultripes (western spadefoot toad)
Lineage: Eukaryota; Metazoa; Chordata; Amphibia; Anura; Pelobatidae
Source: the annotation of a GenBank genome assembly
AGUAGGGAAAGAGUCUGUCUUGACAGGUGAGUCUCACGUGUGGAGAUGUAGUGGGCUAGCCACUGCGGGAUACCCGCGGAGUGAAGCGUUCGAUGCUUGUCAAGACAGAUAGGUUGCGGGCAACUAGGGACAUAUUAGGGACAGCGGCAGUUGUUAUGGUAAAUAGCCAUUUUAGGGGGGACUGUUGUGGAAAUAAGGUCUGCACAUAUUUCCUAG